RNAcentral lists this ribosomal RNA (467 nucleotides) under uncultured bacterium. RNAcentral's name for it is "partial 16S ribosomal RNA". It matches the Rfam family "Bacterial small subunit ribosomal RNA", at positions 28 to 507 of the family's 1533-position model. The record is from RNAcentral.
GAUGAACGCUGGCGGCGCGCCUAACACAUGCAAGUCGAACGAUUAAAGCACCUUCGGGUGUGUAUAAAGUGGCGAACGGCUGAGUAACACGUGGGCAACCUGCCCCCUUCAUUGGGAUAGCCACGGGAAACCGUGGAUAAUACCGAAUACUUCGAGACUUCCGCAUGGAAGACUCGAGAAAGCUCCGGCGGUGAGGGAUGGGCCCGCGGCCUGUUAGCUUGUUGGUGGGGUAACGGCCUACCAAGGCAAUGAUGGGUAGCUGGGUUGAGAGAGCGACCAGCCACAUUGGGACUGAGACACGGCCCAGACUCCUACGGGAGGCAGCAGUGGGGAAUCUUGCACAAUGGGCGGAAGCCUGAUGCAGCGACGCCGCGUGCGGGAUGAAGGCCUUCGGGUUGUAAACCGCUUUCAGCAGGGACGAGGCGAAAGUGACGGUACCUGCAGAAGAAGCCCCGGCUAACUACGUG